This 559-nucleotide ribosomal RNA is filed under the name Piskurozyma cylindrica. Its description in RNAcentral is "partial large subunit ribosomal RNA". It matches the Rfam family "Eukaryotic large subunit ribosomal RNA", at positions 62 to 632 of the family's 3401-position model. Lineage: Eukaryota; Fungi; Basidiomycota; Tremellomycetes; Filobasidiales; Piskurozymaceae. The record is from RNAcentral.
AAACUAACAAGGAUUCCCCUAGUAACGGCGAGUGAAGCGGGAAGAGCUCAAAUUUGAAAUCUAACGGACUCAGUCUGUUCGAGUUGUAAUCUAUAGGAACGUUUUCCGUGCCGGCUCAUGUACAAGUCCCUUGGAACAGGGCGUCAUAGAGGGUGAGAAUCCCGUACUUGACAUGAACUACCGGUGCUCUGUGAUACGUCUCCAACGAGUCGAGUUGUUUGGGAAUGCAGCUCAAAAUGGGUGGUAAAUUCCAUCUAAAGCUAAAUAUUGGUGUGAGACCGAUAGCGAACAAGUACCGUGAGGGAAAGAUGAAAAGCACUUUGGAAAGAGAGUUAAACAGUAUGUGAAAUUGUUGAAAGGGAAACGAUUGAAGUCAGUCAUGUCCUUCAGAUUCAGCUGGUUCUGCCGGUGUAUUUCUGUUGGAUGGGGUCAACAUCAGUUUUGGAUGCCGGAUAAAGGCUGGAGGAAGGUAGCACCCUCGGGUGAACUUAUAGCCUCCUGUCGCAUACGGUGACCGGGACUGAGGAACGCAGCUUGCCUUUAUGGCCGGGGUUCGCCC